GCCGAAGUGGUGGAAUUGGUAGACACGCUGUCUUGAGGGGGCAGUGAACCUCGUUCGUGCCGGUUCGACUCCGGCCUUCGGCACCA
RNAcentral lists this transfer RNA (86 nucleotides) under Pseudomonadota bacterium. Its description in RNAcentral is "Proteobacteria bacterium (marine sediment metagenome) tRNA-Leu". It matches the Rfam family "tRNA". From Rfam's summary of the family: Transfer RNA (tRNA) molecules are approximately 80 nucleotides in length. RNAcentral also lists the same sequence under 6 other names. The record is from RNAcentral. Lineage: Bacteria; Pseudomonadati; Pseudomonadota.